This 72-nucleotide transfer RNA is filed under the name Xenagama taylori. RNAcentral's name for it is "tRNA-Asn". Lineage: Eukaryota; Metazoa; Chordata; Lepidosauria; Squamata; Agamidae. The record is from RNAcentral.
CGAACUGAUGCCCGCUGGAUUGGGCAGAUAGCUGUUAACUAUUUUUUGUGGGAUCAAGGCCCAUCGGUUCCG